Molecule: ribosomal RNA, 497 nt
Filed under: uncultured bacterium
Lineage: Bacteria
Description: partial 16S ribosomal RNA
Rfam family: Bacterial small subunit ribosomal RNA
Source: RNAcentral
GAUGAACGCUGGCGGCGUGCCUAAUACAUGCCAGUCGAGCGAACAGACGAGGAGCUUGCUCCUCUGACGUUAGCGGCGGACGGGUGAGUAACACGUGGAUAACCUACCUAUAAGACUGGGAUAACUUCGGGAAACCGGAGCUAAUACCGGAUAACAUGUUGAACCGCAUGGUUCAACAGUGAAAGACGGUCUUGCUGUCACUUAUAGAUGGAUCCGCGCCGCAUUAGCUAGUUGGUAAGGUAACGGCUUACCAAGGCAACGAUGCGUAGCCGACCUGAGAGGGUGAUCGGCCACACUGGAACUGAGACACGGUCCAGACUCCUACGGGAGGCAGCAGUAGGGAAUCUUCCGCAAUGGGCGAAAGCCUGACGGAGCAACGCCGCGUGAGUGAAGAAGGUCUUCGGAUCGUAAAACUCUGUUAUUAGGGAAGAACAAAUGUGUAAGUAACUAUGCACGUCCUGACGGUACCUAAUCAGAAAGCCACGGCUAACUACGUG